RNAcentral lists this ribosomal RNA (253 nucleotides) under uncultured bacterium. Its description in RNAcentral is "partial 16S ribosomal RNA". It matches the Rfam family "Bacterial small subunit ribosomal RNA", at positions 524 to 776 of the family's 1533-position model. The record is from RNAcentral.
UACAGAGGUCCCAAGCGUUGUUCGGAUUCACUGGGCGUAAAGGGUGCGUAGGUGGUGGGGUAAGUCGGAUGUGAAAGCUCGGAGCUCAACUCCGAAAUGGCAUUGGAAACUACCCUGCUAGAGGAUUGGAGGGGGGACUGGAAUACUUGGUGUAGCAGUGAAAUGCGUAGAUAUCAGGAAGAACACCCGUGGCGAAGGCGGUUCUCUGGAACGCAACUGACGCUGAGACGCGAAAGCGUGGGGAGCAAACAGG